UGGUUAGUCCGCAACGAGCGCAACCCUUGUCCUUAGUUGCCAUCAUUUAGUUGGGCACUCUAAGGAGACUGCCGGUGUUAAACCGGAGGAAGGUGGGGAUGACGUCAAGUCCUCAUGGCCCUUAUGUCCAGGGCUACACACGUGCUACAAUGGCCGGUACAAAGGGCAGCAAAGCCGCGAGGUGGAGCCAAUCCCAGAAAGCCGGUCUCAGUUCGGAUUGGAGUCUGCAACUCGACUCCAUGAAGUUGGAAUCGCUAGUAAUCGCAGAUCAGCACGCUGCGGUGAAUACGUUCCCGGGCCUU
Molecule: ribosomal RNA, 302 nt
Filed under: uncultured Desulfuromonas sp.
Lineage: Bacteria; Pseudomonadati; Thermodesulfobacteriota; Desulfuromonadia; Desulfuromonadales; Desulfuromonadaceae
Description: bacterial SSU rRNA
Rfam family: Bacterial small subunit ribosomal RNA
Source: RNAcentral